RNAcentral lists this ribosomal RNA (253 nucleotides) under uncultured bacterium. RNAcentral's name for it is "partial 16S ribosomal RNA". It matches the Rfam family "Bacterial small subunit ribosomal RNA", at positions 524 to 776 of the family's 1533-position model. The record is from RNAcentral.
UACGAAGGGGGCUAGCGUUGCUCGGAAUUACUGGGCGUAAAGGGCGCGUAGGCGGCCAGUCUAGUCAGAGGUGAAAGCCCAGGGCUCAACCUUGGGACUGCCUUUGAUACUGACUGUCUUGAGUUCGGGAGAGGUGAGUGGAAUGCCGAGUGUAGAGGUGAAAUUCGUAGAUAUUCGGCGGAACACCAGUGGCGAAGGCGGCUCACUGGCCCGAUACUGACGCUGAGGCACGAAAGCGUGGGGAGCAAACAGG